This 65-nucleotide transfer RNA is filed under the name Dipodomys ordii (Ord's kangaroo rat). It matches the Rfam family "tRNA". Rfam says of the family: Transfer RNA (tRNA) molecules are approximately 80 nucleotides in length. Their secondary structure includes four short double-helical elements and three loops (D, anti-codon, and T loops). Further hydrogen bonds mediate the characteristic L-shaped molecular structure. tRNAs have two regions of fundamental functional importance: the anti-codon, which is responsible for specific mRNA codon recognition, and the 3' end, to which the tRNAs corresponding amino acid is attached (by aminoacyl-tRNA synthetases). tRNAs cope with the degeneracy of the genetic code in two manners: having more than one tRNA (with a specific anti-codon) for a particular amino acid; and 'wobble' base-pairing, i.e. permitting non-standard base-pairing at the 3rd anti-codon position. The record is from Rfam by way of RNAcentral. Lineage: Eukaryota; Metazoa; Chordata; Mammalia; Rodentia; Heteromyidae.
GGUGGCUCAGUGGUAGAGUGCUUACCUUGCAUGUGUGAGGCCCUGGGUUCGAUUCCCCAGCACCA